RNAcentral lists this ribosomal RNA (301 nucleotides) under uncultured bacterium. RNAcentral's name for it is "partial 16S ribosomal RNA". It matches the Rfam family "Bacterial small subunit ribosomal RNA", at positions 509 to 809 of the family's 1533-position model. The record is from RNAcentral.
CAGUCGCCACGGGAAUACAGAGGGUGCGAGCGUUAAUCGGAUUUACUGGGCGUAAAGCGUGCGUAGGCGGCUAAUUGAGUCGGAUGUGAAAUCCCCGAGCUUAACUUGGGAAUUGCAUUCGAUACUGGUUAGCUAGAGUGUGGGAGAGGAUGGUAGAAUUCCAGGUGUAGCGGUGAAAUGCGUAGAGAUCUGGAGGAAUACCGAUGGCGAAGGCAGCCAUCUGGCCUAACACUGACGCUAAGGUACGAAAGCAUGGGGAGCAAACAGGAUUAGAUACCCCAGUAGUCCCUGUCUCUUAUAU